RNAcentral lists this ribosomal RNA (683 nucleotides) under Lecontella brunnea. RNAcentral's name for it is "eukaryotic LSU rRNA". It matches the Rfam family "Eukaryotic large subunit ribosomal RNA", at positions 651 to 1284 of the family's 3401-position model. Lineage: Eukaryota; Metazoa; Arthropoda; Insecta; Coleoptera; Cleridae. The record is from RNAcentral.
GUCUUGAAACACGGACCAAGGAGUCUAGCAUGUGCGCGAGUCAUUGGGAACAACUAAACCUAAAGGCGUAAUGAAAGUGAAGGUCCGCCCCGCGCGGACCGAGGGAAGAUGGGCGGAUGAGCCUCAAAAGAUGGCCCGCCCCGCACUCCCGGGGCGUCUCGUUCUCAUUGCGAGAAGAGGCGCACCAAGAGCGUACACGCUGGGACCCGAAAGAUGGUGAACUAUGCCUGGUCAGGACGAAGUCAGGGGAAACCCUGAUGGAGGUCCGUAGCGAUUCUGACGUGCAAAUCGAUCGUCGGAACUGGGUAUAGGGGCGAAAGACUAAUCGAACCAUCUAGUAGCUGGUUCCCUCCGAAGUUUCCCUCAGGAUAGCUGGCGCUCGUCGCAUACGAGUCUCAUCCGGUAAAGCGAAUGAUUAGAGGCAUUGGGGUCGAAACGGCCUCAACCUAUUCUCAAACUUUAAAUGGGUGAGAUCUCCGGCUUGCUCGAACUACUGAAGCCGCGAGACACGGAUCAGAGUGCCAAGUGGGCCAUUUUUGGUAAGCAGAACUGGCGCUGUGGGAUGAACCAAACGCCGAGUUAAAGCGCCUAAAUCGACGCUUAUGGGAUACCAUGAAAGGCGUUGGUAACUUAAGACAGCAGGACGGUGGCCAUGGAAGUCGGAAUCCGCUAAGGAGUGUGUA